UCAUACCAUAUCAAAUGAUAUUGAAAUUUGACAAGUAAUUUUUGUGAUGGAAAAGCAAAGUUUAGUUCUGGUGAUUUUGUUUGGUCUUCUCUUCGCUUGUGCCAUUGAAGCUAGUGAGCCUAGAAAUCCACCAUAUGGGAGAAAUGGUAUGAUCUGGCCUAGAAGACCACCACAUGCAACAAAUGGUAUGAUAUGGCCUAGAAGACCACCACAUGCGACAAAUGGUAUGAUCUGGCCUAGAAGACCACCACAUGCGACAAAUGGUAUGAUAUGGCCUAGAAGACCACCACAUAGCAAAGUGUCCAAAUCCGUAUGAAUGUUAUGAUCAAUAUCGUCAUGAGUAAAAUUAUGUAUGCCUUAAGAUUUGAUAUCUGAAAUCUGAUGGAUAAUUUAAAUAAAAGAAUUGAACAUCAAGUUUUAAAACCCGAAUUCACUAUUAUUCAUAGCAUUCAUCACAUUUUCGUGUAUAUUAAGAAAAGAUUAUGCCAAAUAAAAACCCGU
Molecule: long non-coding RNA, 501 nt
Filed under: Eutrema salsugineum
Lineage: Eukaryota; Viridiplantae; Streptophyta; Magnoliopsida; Brassicales; Brassicaceae
Description: long non-coding RNA (ESAL_LNC000176)
Source: RNAcentral